GGUGCCCCAUAGGAUCCCAUAGGAGCCCUUAAAGGUGCUAAUGGGUUUGGCCUAUAAGAAAACCCAUAGGACCCCAUGGGUGCUGAUGCGUGCCCCCAUUGCCCCCCCAAAACAUUUCUAUCCCAUAAUGAUUCUUACGGGAUGGGGGAUGAUCAUUUGGGAUGGGGGCGGGCCAUUGUGGGAUGGAGAAGCCUCAUUAUGGGCUGGGGUCUCAUUAAGGUCUGGGGUCUCUCAUUUAAGGUCUGGGGUCUCUCAUUAUGGCUGGGGGUCUCUCAUUUAAGGUCUGGGGUCUCAUUAGGUCUGGGGUUCUCAUUAAGGUCUGGGGUCUCUUACGGUCUGGGGUCUCUCAUAAGGUCUGGGGUCUCUCAUUAA
This 372-nucleotide long non-coding RNA is filed under the name Coturnix japonica (Japanese quail). RNAcentral describes it as "lncRNA (ENSCJPG00005002619.1)". Lineage: Eukaryota; Metazoa; Chordata; Aves; Galliformes; Phasianidae. The record is from RNAcentral.